This 724-nucleotide long non-coding RNA is filed under the name Homo sapiens (human). Lineage: Eukaryota; Metazoa; Chordata; Mammalia; Primates; Hominidae. The record is from RNAcentral.
GCCAUUUUCGAGUGAUGCCUGAUCUCAUCAAUCUAGCGGGAGAGACAGGAUAACCUGUCCGAGAGUAUAGCGCCACUAUGACUCCGCCGGAAAAAUUACUUUAAAAAUCGCCAAAAAUUACUUGGAGCAAAGGGCAGUCGGCGGAGCUUCGCCAAGGCUGGCGCAGUCGGUUUUGACCUGUAGCAGAGAACCAAUUCUGGAGAACAGCCUCACUUCUUUGAUUGAAUACUUACAUAAUGCAUUGGAACAUGACAUGAGAUUAAGUGUAUAAAGCCAAAUGUCCCAUUUAAAGUUUGACAUUUGCAAUAGCAUUCUAUUUAAAAGGUUUAAUAAUGAUAGAAUGAAGACCACAAUAAAAGAGACCUCUACUUAGCUCAGCAAUUCUUACCUUUCUUACCUAUUUGAUGAAGAUGUCUUUUGAAAGGUGUACUGCAAGGAACAAAAUGUUUGUAAAUUCUCCUUUUACCAAGGUGGAUAAUUACUGUACCUUCCUCAUGGAAAAAGUUUUAUUUAAAGUGUUAUUUCUCAUUGAAUACUAUCAAAAAGGAAAAAAAAAUGACCUAAACUUUUGAGAUAGAUUUGGCUCUAGUAAGUAUUUAGUUAUAUCACUUGCAUAUCUGGGAGAAGAAAUAAGAGACUAUCAUCAGUACAUUCCCAUCUACUAAAAAAAUUUAUUUUACACAUGUCAAGGGAUUACUUAUAACUUCCAUUUUAUUACUAAUAG